Molecule: ribosomal RNA, 438 nt
Filed under: uncultured bacterium
Lineage: Bacteria
Description: bacterial SSU rRNA
Rfam family: Bacterial small subunit ribosomal RNA
Source: RNAcentral
CCUGGUAGUCCACGCCGUAAACGAUGAGUGCUAAGUGUUAGAGGGUUUCCGCCCUUUAGUGCUGAAGUUAACGCAUUAAGCACUCCGCCUGGGGAGUACGGCCGCAAGGCUGAAACUCAAAGGAAUUGACGGGGGCCCGCACAAGCGGUGGAGCAUGUGGUUUAAUUCGAAGCAACGCGAAGAACCUUACCAGGUCUUGACAUCCUCUGAAAACCCUAGAGAUAGGGCUUCUCCUUCGGGAGCAGAGUGACAGGUGGUGCAUGGUUGUCGUCAGCUCGUGUCGUGAGAUGUUGGGUUAAGUCCCGCAACGAGCGCAACCCUUGAUCUUAGUUGCCAUCAUUAAGUUGGGCACUCUAAGGUGACUGCCGGUGACAAACCGGAGGAAGGUGGGGAUGACGUCAAAUCAUCAUGCCCCUUAUGACCUGGGCUACACACGUG